UGGUGGCGACCGGCGCACGGGUGAGUAACGCGUAUGCAACCUACCUAUCAGAGGGGAAUAACCCGGCGAAAGUCGGACUAAUACCGCAUAAAACAGGGGUUCCACAUGGAAAUAUUUGUUAAAGAAUUAUCGCUGAUAGAUGGGCAUGCGUUCCAUUAGAUAGUUGGUGAGGUAACGGCUCACCAAGUCCACGAUGGAUAGGGGUUCUGAGAGGAAGGUCCCCCACACUGGUACUGAGACACGGACCAGACUCCUACGGGAGGCAGCAGUGAGGAAUAUUGGUCAAUGGGCGAGAGCCUGAACCAGCCAAGUCGCGUGAAGGAUGAAGGAUCUAUGGUUUGUAAACUUCUUUUAUAUGGGAAUAAAGUGAGGAACGUGUUCCUUUUUGUAUGUACCAUAUGAAUAAGCAUCGGCUAACUCCGUGCCAGCAGCCGCGGUAAUACGGAGGAUGCGAGCGUUAUCCGGAUUUAUUGGGUUUAAAGGGUGCGUAGGUGGUUAAUUAAGUCAGCGGUGAAAGUUUGUGGCUCAACCAUAAAAUUGCCGUUGAAACUGGUUGACUUGAGUAUAUUUGAGGUAGGCGGAAUGCGUGGUGUAGCGGUGAAAUGCAUAGAUAUCACGCAGAACUCCGAUUGCGAAGGCAGCUUACUAAACUAUAACUGACACUGAAGCACGAAAGCGUGGGGAUCAAACAGGAUUAGAUACCCUGGUAGUCCACGCAGUAAACGAUGAUUACUAGCUGUUUGCGAUACACAGUAAGCGGCACAGCGAAAGCGUUAAGUAAUCCACCUGGGGAGUACGCCGGCAACGGUGAAACUCAAAGGAAUUGACGGGGGCCCGCACAAGCGGAGGAACAUGUGGUUUAAUUCGAUGAUACGCGAGGAACCUUACCCGG
Molecule: ribosomal RNA, 892 nt
Filed under: uncultured bacterium
Lineage: Bacteria
Description: bacterial SSU rRNA
Rfam family: Bacterial small subunit ribosomal RNA
Source: RNAcentral